This 327-nucleotide unclassified non-coding RNA is filed under the name uncultured fungus. RNAcentral's name for it is "sequence contains ITS1". The stretch from base 1 to 101 matches the Rfam family "5.8S ribosomal RNA", at positions 50 to 154 of the family's 154-position model. Lineage: Eukaryota; Fungi. The record is from RNAcentral.
GAAGUGCGAUAAGUGUCACGACUUGCAGAUCCCCGAGAGCUGACAAAUUUCUGAAUGCAAAUUGCGGCCAACUAACGUUGGUCAUGUAUCGCAGAGUGUAGUUGUUCCUACUCAUCAUUCUCAUGCCUGAACGGGCGACCGCACUGGCAGGAGAGAUCUGCGCUUGUGGCCCAACCCUUGGUUGCGAGCGUCAAAACUCAGAGUGGGCGAUGCGAGUUGUGUAACAACAACUCGUAGAGCCCAACUUCGGAUUGACUGAAGAAGUUCCCAGACUCUGUUCUUUCUCGUAAUUCACCUCUGCGAUGCAGGAAAACCCGCUGAACUUAA